RNAcentral lists this long non-coding RNA (277 nucleotides) under Homo sapiens (human). Its description in RNAcentral is "HSALNT0228250". The record is from RNAcentral. Lineage: Eukaryota; Metazoa; Chordata; Mammalia; Primates; Hominidae.
UUAUGUCUGCCGAAAACCACAUCUGGUUCACCGCCGCCUCAACAGACACACAAUGAAAUACAAAAGGCUAAUUCUGCUGUGUACGCAAUCCAUGUUUCUUUCCCCAGAGGAUUCCAGAUGGAGUGAACUCAGUAGAGGCGGUGCUUCGACGGCUGAUGAUCUUGCGGAGAGGAGAGAGGAGCAUUAGUUACGGUUUUAAGUCCCGGCUGAACUGGCAGGGGUUACAUGACCUCAGACUCAGGGGCUUGUUAAGGAUGUGCAUGCUUCUCCUUUGCCU